UAUAAAAGGACAAGUCACUUUGUCCGAAGCCUUUUUCAAUCAACAUCUCUUGAGCUGCAGUGCAAGUUGUAUUACGUAUUUACCAAAGUCAAUUUAACAGUUCCUUGGUGUAUUUUUAUUCAACCAGGGUCCUAAUAACUGGUACAUUACAUGUACAUGUUAGGGUGCGGAGCGUGACCUUACUAUCACCUUCAAGAUCCCGCAGUACUUUUCUGAGUGGACGCUGCCGGAAACGAGGCGCUCUGGCUAGGCGAUCCAAGAAAGUGCUUGACUACCGUAAAACAGGAAACACACCUGCAUACACAACCUGGCUUGGAUCCAGCAACCCCAGUUGCGGGGAAGCAAUCCAGUAAACGUUCAUCGUCAUUUUGUGAACCAAACUGGUGAUACCGUCAUUGUUUAUAAUAUUGUUAAUUUUAAUCUCACUUUAUUAAAUACUUUCUCGUGUGUCCGGUAUACUUACCGACACACAUUUAAUCAAGGAUACCUUACCACUAAAUUUAUUCUGUGUGAACAAUUAUAACCAUCGAAUCUGUAUUCCUGUGUAGUGAAUAAACUCAAGUGUAAUAUAUA
Molecule: long non-coding RNA, 573 nt
Organism: Bombyx mori (domestic silkworm)
Lineage: Eukaryota; Metazoa; Arthropoda; Insecta; Lepidoptera; Bombycidae
Exons: 2
Source: RefSeq, a predicted model, not a curated record